Molecule: long non-coding RNA, 150 nt
Organism: Pristis pectinata (smalltooth sawfish)
Lineage: Eukaryota; Metazoa; Chordata; Chondrichthyes; Rhinopristiformes; Pristidae
Exons: 3
Source: RefSeq, a predicted model, not a curated record
CAUACUUCCUUCCUCCUUCGUGACCAAGGGCGUGUCCAUGGGCACUCGCAUGGGCCCCAGCUAUGCCUGUCUCUUCAUCGGCUGUGUUGAACAAUCUCUGUUCCCCUCAUGAGAUGCUGCCGGACCUCUGAGUUCCUCCAGCUUUUUGUG